This is a non-coding RNA of Peromyscus maniculatus bairdii (prairie deer mouse), 922 nucleotides long. The record is from RefSeq and is a predicted model, not a curated record. Lineage: Eukaryota; Metazoa; Chordata; Mammalia; Rodentia; Cricetidae.
CUUUUGAGCGGGUGGAGAAGUUCGUGUCUCCGAUCUACUUCACCGACUGUAACCUCCGCGGCAGGCUCUUCGGGGACAGCUGCCCGGUGACACUGUCCAGCUUCCUAACGCGGGAGAGGCUUCCCUAUGAGGAGGCGGUGCAGAAGAACUUCUGCCCUGCGCAGGUCGGCGACAGCUUCGGACCCACGUGGGUAACACCCAGCUUGGAGAAGCCCCGCCCCUCUCAUGCCUCCUCACCAAAGCCACGCCUCAUUGUCUUGGGCCCUGGACUGCUGUAUGGCAGAGAGUAGCGCCCUCUGCCGGGAGAAUCGCCUUCAUCCUUUCAUGUCUUCACCUGAGUAUUUUCAUCCCUGCCGCCUCUGUCCCUUUCCCUCUCUAGGUGAAUGAUCUUUCCCUUGGGUCUUUGUUCUUCCCCAAUUCUCCGUUCCGGUGGCUCAAAGCUGAGUACCUUGUGAUGCUGCAGAUGCGUGGAGAAAGUCUUAAGGCCCUGCUGACAUUUAAUUCAAGAACAGGGUUUCCACUCCUAGGCCGAUCACGAUAGUUCUCUUACAGAUGGUUGGACCUGCUGGUUCCGGGUAGAACUGGUCAUCCCCGAAGCAUGGGUGGGCCAGGAAGUCCAUCUUUGCUGGGAAAGUGAUGGAGAAAGCCUUGUCUGGCGUGAUGGAGAACCUGUCCAGGUGAGGUACAACCCCCAAACCCAGCCACAGCCACAGAUUAGCCCUGGUUUUUGGAGAAGCCACAACUGAAUGGCCCUCCAGAGUAGUUUCAUGAUUUCAGGACUGAGAGAAUUGCCUUUUGGACGCCAGUGUUAUAAGCCCCCAGUUUUCAUGAACUUUUUAUUGUAUUUAGUACACACAUAAUGGAGAAACUUCAGAUCACUCUAGAAUAGUAUUAAGUAAGGCAUUAAAUUAUCUUCCCAUGA